GACGGACGGUGCAAGCGUUGCUCGGAAUCACUGGGCGUAAAGGGUGCGUAGGCGGCUUGGUAGGUCUGGUGUGAAAGCCCCGGGCUCAGCCCGGGAAGGGCACUAGAAACUGCCAAGCUAGAGUGCCGGAGGGGAGAGUGGAAUUCCUGGUGUAGCGGUGAAAUGCGUAGAGAUCAGGAGGAAUACCGGUGGCGAAAGCGACUCUCUGGACGGCAACUGACGCUGAGGCACGAAAGCGUGGGGAGCAAACAGG
Molecule: ribosomal RNA, 253 nt
Filed under: uncultured bacterium
Lineage: Bacteria
Description: partial 16S ribosomal RNA
Rfam family: Bacterial small subunit ribosomal RNA
Source: RNAcentral